This 1331-nucleotide long non-coding RNA is filed under the name Marmota monax (woodchuck). Lineage: Eukaryota; Metazoa; Chordata; Mammalia; Rodentia; Sciuridae. The record is from RNAcentral.
CUCUAUUAGACACAGAGGUCAUACUAGUAAAAGGGUUUUACAAGAUCAGAUGACAUUAAAUUAUUAGACUAUAUCUUAAGGGAAAGGACAUCUGUAAACCUAAAUGUUAAUUGUUGUGUUUACAUCCCUGACAUUUCUGGCAAGGUGACAAAUAUCCUUAAAGAUUUACAUGCUCAGAUAGAAGCCAUGUCCUCAGCAACUUUGUUGUGGAAACAGUAUCUUAGCUCCUGGUUCUUGGUACUUCCUGGUGGAAAACAUUGUUAGUCUCUGUCUUGGCCAUUAUACUCAUUGGCAUAUUCCUGUGCUGUGACAUUUAUUGCUGCAUCAGUCUGGUUCCAGUACUAAUGAAUUCUUGUUUCUCUUAUAGACCACCUAUCCCUCGAAUGGCCCUCCAGCCUAAUACUUCUCAAUUGGACUUUUAUCGUGGACCACUCGAUAGACCCGAUAUUUUUAAAGGGGGACUCCAAACUGCUUGCCCCACACCAACCCUUUUCAGCCUGAAGGAGCCAGAAAGAUCCUCUUCGCCCCCCUUCCUCACAGCAGUGAGGAGUUCCCAAAUUAGAGGGGGGAAUGAAGCCAGAUUUAAAGUUAGGUAGUCAGUGUAGUUAGACAAAUCGGGGUCUAAUACCAAGUGAAAUCUAAAAUGGAGGCCAUGCUGAAAAUGAUUCCAGGGAAUACAAAACAACUCAUGAAAUGUAUAACCCUUCAAUAAUCUUGAUGCAUUACAUUUAAGAUUAAAAGUUGUCAGAAAAAAGGAGUGGGGAAUGUAAGGGUAAAAGAAAUUGAAGUUAAAGGGUAAAAGACCGGGCAUUGUAAAGUUUCUAAGCUGCAAGACCUGAGUUAAAAUGUAAAGGAUUAGGUAUUGUUAGGUUUCUGUGCUACCUGCAAAACCUGAAAUUCCUGUAGCUGUUGAGAUAAUGCUUGGAACCACCCAGUAAAUAUUUCCCCUGACUUCUUGGUUGUUUAAUAACUGAAGGGCUCUGUGUGGUCUCGCACGUAGGCAUCGCAGGGCCUAAACCAAUCAGUUUGUGUACCCCACUUUAGAACUGACCUAUCACCCCCGCCUGACCUGUUCCCGCCAAUGAAUGAACUAAUCAUGUUUAGGAAUUGUUUGAUUUUCCCACGGUGUAUGAUGAUUUGUUAAAGGAGACUGUGAUGUAUGCAAAAUCCCUGCCCUCCCCAAAAAAGUGUACUUAAGCAGUGCUCAGCCCCUGCUUGGGGCUCUGGGCUGUUCUCCCUUCUUGAGUGGGCAUGGAGCCCUAGCAUGCUAGAUCAAUAAAUCCCCUUCUGCCAAUUGCAUGAGUGGUCACUUGGUGGUCUCUUUCUUCGAC